GCUGGCGAAUGGGGGAAAGUGGCCGGUCUGAUUAAUCGGUCACCGGCAUACACGCUCCAGCCUCCGCCAGGAACCGGGCGAUAGCCCCGAUUAACCCUUUCGGCACCCAGCGCACACCCCCAGCGCGGCUCUGAGAUGCUCCAGAGGACGGAGGCGAUAAGGCGACGUUUGGCGAUGACCCGCUCUGGGACGCGGGCGAUCGCACAGCAGCGCGUGCUAAUCUGCACAUCCGCGGUGCCGCGGCUGCUCGUCAGCGGGGCAGCCCCAGCCCCGGGCCGUUUGCUAGCUAAUUCCUGGGGGAGGCAACAUGAAUGGAGACUGUCUUCAGUGCCAUUCAGCUGAUUUAAAUGUUCCUCAUAUCCAGGAGCAAGGAUCUGUGCCUCUGCUUCAUCCUUGCCCUCUCCAGGAGUUGCCAGCUCUGGACACCAGCAGAAGCACCUGGAGACUUACCUAGGAAACGCUUGGCUCGCGCUGAGCGCUGACGGCAUCCCUUUGCAACGCAACACCAAUGCCUGGCCUCUCCCCUUGAGACACCCCCAAGGUCUUCUCAAGACACGGUGGGUGACUCCCCGGGGAAGUGGUGGCAGAGGAUGCUCUGGACCAGGGACACCCUACGCAAAGGGACGUCCAGCACAGCACCCGAGUGACCGGCAGCAGCGGCACGGCCAUGGGCUCUGCCUCCUCGGGAUGGAGGUGGCUUCGCAAAGCAGCACAUCAGAACCAAAGGCAGUUCACGCUGUUUUUCCCCUUGCUGAAUUCCCCACCUCAGGCUCCAGACAGAGUUGUCGUUGGGGUUGCAGCUAACACAGAUUCCUCCCUGACCUAGAAAUAUUCGGAGUACUUGAAAGCUUUCCUAUUCCAACAGACUAGUUUUAGCACCUUGAAGCCUGGCGAGUGCCAGCAGCAGGUGUAAUAUGAAGAAAACCCAAAGCCAGAAGCCGACAUACCGUCCUGCGCCCUCGGAGACUGCAGGAAUGAGAGGGAAGCUGCGUGCCGUAGGGGAGAUGAAAGAUGCUGCAAUGACUUUUUGCUGACAUGUACAAAUGUGAUCCUGACUAUUAACUUUAAUGACCUGCCAUUAUGUGAGGGAAAAAGGAGGAGGGAUCUAAUUUUUUAUAAUUACUUUAAUUGCCACCCUGUGGUCUUGUUUUGUGCUGCUGGUUUUGCAGUCAGGUG
Dromaius novaehollandiae (emu) is the source of this 1176-nucleotide long non-coding RNA. RefSeq lists it as uncharacterized. Lineage: Eukaryota; Metazoa; Chordata; Aves; Casuariiformes; Dromaiidae. The transcript is spliced from 3 exons. The record is from RefSeq and is a predicted model, not a curated record.